CUUGACCGUACCGAGCAGCAACGGGCGCUCCCGGUCCCGGCCGUAGGCGGUCAGCAGGGCCUGGGCCUC
Molecule: non-coding RNA, 69 nt
Organism: Streptomyces sp. MnatMP-M17
Lineage: Bacteria; Bacillati; Actinomycetota; Actinomycetes; Kitasatosporales; Streptomycetaceae
Rfam family: ASpks TB sRNA
Source: Rfam